AUGAACGCUGGCGGCGUGGAUAAGGCAUGCAAGUCAAGCGGGAUUUAUUUGCGAUUACAUCAAGAAUAAGUCCAGCGGCAAACGAGUUAGUAAUACCUUGGUACAUACCCUGAAGUCGGGCAUAACCUGCCGAAAGGCAGAUUAAUUCCCGAUAGUCCCAGUACCCUACGUGGUACUGGGUAAAGUCGCAAGACGCUUUAGGAGUGACCUAGGUCCUAUCAGCUAGUUGGCGGGGUAACGGCCCACCAAGGCUAUGACGGGUAGGGGGUGUGAGAGCACGGCCCCCAACGAGGGUACUGAGACACGGACCUUACAUCUACGGAUGGCUGCAGUCGAGAAUAUUCGACAAUGGGCGAAAGCCUGAUCGAGCGACGCCGCGUGCAGGAAGAAGGCCUUCGGGUUGUAAACUGCUUUUGCGUGGGAAGAAUUUUGACGGUACCACGAGAAUAAGGGGUUGCUAACUCUGU
RNAcentral lists this ribosomal RNA (467 nucleotides) under uncultured bacterium. RNAcentral describes it as "bacterial SSU rRNA". It matches the Rfam family "Bacterial small subunit ribosomal RNA", at positions 29 to 506 of the family's 1533-position model. The record is from RNAcentral.